RNAcentral lists this ribosomal RNA (253 nucleotides) under uncultured bacterium. RNAcentral describes it as "partial 16S ribosomal RNA". It matches the Rfam family "Bacterial small subunit ribosomal RNA", at positions 524 to 776 of the family's 1533-position model. The record is from RNAcentral.
UACGUAGGUGACCAGCGUUGUCCGGAUUUACUGGGCGUAAAGAGCGCGCAGGCGGUCGGUCAAGUCGAGUGUGAAAGCCCCCGGCUCAACUGGGGAGGGUCAUUCGAUACUGAUCGACUCGAAGGCAGGAGAGGGUAGUGGAAUUCCCGGUGUAGUGGUGAAAUGCGUAGAUAUCGGGAGGAACACCAGUGGCGAAGGCGACUACCUGGCCUGUUCUUGACGCUGAGGCGCGAAAGCUAGGGGAGCAAACGGG